Long non-coding RNA from Solanum tuberosum (potato), 317 nucleotides. RefSeq lists it as uncharacterized. Lineage: Eukaryota; Viridiplantae; Streptophyta; Magnoliopsida; Solanales; Solanaceae. The record is from RefSeq and is a predicted model, not a curated record. The transcript has 3 exons.
AUUGUACAAGUGAAGAGUAAAGCUUCUGCUGCUGAUGGAGAUAUUCAGGAAAAACAAUUGUGACCACCUACGCCUCCAUUAGUUAAUUCAGCUGGAAAUGGAAAUGGAAAUGGCAGUGGUAAAUGAAGAGAUAAAGCUGCAAAUGGAAAUGGAAAUGGCAGCGGUAAAUGAAUACAUGAAGCUGCAGGCAGUGGUAAUACGCACUUCAUUUCUACAAAAAUGAAUCUGCUUAAUUGUCCUGAUGUCCACACAUUGCAUCCCAUGCCUUCUGCUGCUGCUUCUGCUCAUGUGAAUACAUAUGUUUCCAACUUACAAAA